CAUUUCACCUAGCUGAACCCUGCCAUAUGUCCCUAAAAUAAAUGAGCAAAACAAGAUUGCUUUGACCUAACAAAUACUUUGGUCAGCUUCUUACUCUCUUUGAUCGAGCAAUAUUUUAGCUUGAACUUGAAAGUGGGGGUUAUUUGAUAUGAAAGGAAAGUUUACCUUGGGUUUGACUGAUGUUCACCAUUCUUCAGUUAGCCACCGACCUACUUGCCUUGGUGCAUGUUGAGCCAAAGUACCAAACCAAGAUUCCCGACAUCUGUUACAUGUCGGGUUUGUUACGAUGUUCAGUUCACAUUCUGGCUAUAGCCU
This 315-nucleotide long non-coding RNA is filed under the name Elaeis guineensis (African oil palm). RNAcentral's name for it is "long non-coding RNA (EGUI_LNC011994)". Lineage: Eukaryota; Viridiplantae; Streptophyta; Magnoliopsida; Arecales; Arecaceae. The record is from RNAcentral.